CCUACGGGGUGCAGCAGUGAGGAAUAUUGGUCAAUGGACGAGAGUCUGAACCAGCCAAGUAGCGUGAAGGAUGACUGCCCUAUGGGUUGUAAACUUCUUUUAUAUGGGAAUAAAAUGUUCCACGUGUGGGAUUUUGUAUGUACCAUAUGAAUAAGGAUCGGCUAACUCCGUGCCAGCAGCCGCGGUAAUACGGAGGAUCCGAGCGUUAUCCGGAUUUAUUGGGUUUAAAGGGAGCGUAGGUGGAUUGUUAAGUCAGUUGUGAAAGUUUGCGGCUCAAACAGAAAAUUGCAGUUGAAACUGGCAGUCUUGAGUACAGUAGAGGUGGGCGGAAUUCGUGGUGUAGCGGUGAAAUGCUUAGAUAUCACGAAGAACUCCGAUUGCGAAGGCAGUUCACUGGACUGCAACUGACACUGAGGCUCGAAAGUGUGGGUAUCAAACAGGAUUAGAUACCCCAGUAGUC
This 460-nucleotide ribosomal RNA is filed under the name uncultured bacterium. RNAcentral describes it as "partial 16S ribosomal RNA". It matches the Rfam family "Bacterial small subunit ribosomal RNA", at positions 338 to 795 of the family's 1533-position model. The record is from RNAcentral.